RNAcentral lists this unclassified non-coding RNA (255 nucleotides) under Annulohypoxylon stygium. RNAcentral's name for it is "partial contains 5.8S ribosomal RNA, internal transcribed spacer 2, and large subunit ribosomal RNA". The record is from RNAcentral. Lineage: Eukaryota; Fungi; Ascomycota; Sordariomycetes; Xylariales; Hypoxylaceae.
CGCACAUUGCGCCCAUUAGUAUUCUAGUGGGCAUGCCUAUUCGAGCGUCAUUACAACCCUUAAGCCUUGUAGCUUAGCGUUGGGAAUCUACCCCUCACUGAGGGGUAGUUCCUUAAAUUUAGUGGCGGGGUUAUAGCACACUCUAAGCGUAGUAGUUUAACUCGCUUUCAGGGAGGCUGUAGCUGCUUGCCGUAAAACCCCCUAUAACUUAUAGUGGUUGACCUCGGAUUAGGUAGGAAUACCCGCUGAACUUAA